RNAcentral lists this long non-coding RNA (1120 nucleotides) under Sarcophilus harrisii (Tasmanian devil). RNAcentral describes it as "lncRNA (ENSSHAG00000031505.1)". The stretch from base 802 to 878 matches the Rfam family "let-7 microRNA precursor family". The record is from RNAcentral. Lineage: Eukaryota; Metazoa; Chordata; Mammalia; Dasyuromorphia; Dasyuridae.
AGGGGGAUGGAGAGAAAGGAGGGGGAGAGAAAGAGAGGCUGAGAAAUCCGGAGAGGGAGAUCGGAGCCCCGGACAGUGAGCCAGACUCCGAGCCCCCAGAGGGAGGAAGGAGCCGAGACCGAGACUCCCGGGCACCGGCGCCGAGAACCGAGCCGCCGAUUCCGAGGCAGGGAUGGAGGCGGCGGCCAAGGGACAGCCGCCCGCCCGCCAGCGGGGCCGCCGCCGGCAAACCGGAGGGGGGCCGGCCAGGGCGGAGGAUGAGCCCCAGCCGGGCGGACCCCACGAGGAGCCUCGGGGCCGCAGGUGCCGGGGAAGGCUGGCAGCCAGGGUUCCCAGGAUGCUGAAGAGAUGGCGAUGUUGGCCGGCCGGCCAGAGGCCCUGCCAGGUAAGGCCUCCCCACCCUGCUCCCAGAGAGAAGACCCCGGGCAGGACUCCUCAUCCCUUGCAGCUCGGAGAGGGGUAAAAGCCCCCUCCCACGUUCCCCAAAUGGGGCAAGGGCUGGAGCAUCAGGACACCUGAGGGGGGCAGGGGGGGCAGGACGCCCGGGCCCCAGAGGGGCAGGGGCUGGGGAAUCAGGACGCCUGGGUCCCUGAGGGGGCAGGGGUUGUGGCCCAGGCACCCGGCUCCUGGGGGGGCCCAUUCUGCAGCCUGGCACCCACCCGUAGAUCCGACCUUGCGGGGCGCCGGCCACACACAAGCUCGAGUCUGUGGGUCUGUGUCGGGAUUGGCACGGCCGCCGGGCCCCCCCGCCAGCCUGGUCCAGCCCCCGCCCGGCCCGGCCCUGUCCGCCUCGCGCGCUGCCCGGGCUGAGGUAGUAGGUUGUACAGUUGAGAAGGACACCUGUGGAGAUAACUGUACGGCUCACUAGCUUUCCCCGGGCUGUGCCCCGCACCGAAGGAGGGGAAGGGGUUGGGAAGGGUCCGGAGGGAGGGGGCGGGCCUGGCGGGGUGGGGGGCUGGGCGGGGGCUGCAGGGCCUGCCGUGGGCACUCGGUGUCUCUGGGUCCCUCUCUGUCCCUCUCCGUGUCUUCCAGUGGCACUGUAGGUCCGUCUCUGUGUCUCUGUGGGUCCGCCGGUGGAGUGGAAGUGGAGGUGUGAGUGGUAUGUAUGGUCUGGAGAUGU